AUUGAACGCUGGCGGCAGGCCUAACACAUGCAAGUCGAGCGCGCGGCGGACGUGUGAGUAAUGUCUGGGAAACUGCCUGAUGGAGGGGGAUAACUACUGGAAACGGUAGCUAAUACCGCAUACCAUCAGAUGUGCCCAGAUGGGAUUAGCUAGUAGGUUGGGUAACGGCUCACCUAGGAGACGAUCCCUAGCUGGUCUGAGAGGAUGACCAGCCACACUGGAACUGAGACACGGUCCAGACUCCGAAGGGAGGCAGCAGUGGGGAAUAUUGCACAAGGGGCGAAAGCCUGAUGCAGCCAUGCCGCGUGUAUGAAGAAGGACUUCGGGUUGUAAAGUACUUUCAGCGGGGAGGCGUUACCAGCAGAAGAAGCACCGGCUAACUCCGUGCCAGCAGCCGCGGUAAUUC
This 406-nucleotide ribosomal RNA is filed under the name uncultured bacterium. RNAcentral's name for it is "partial 16S ribosomal RNA". It matches the Rfam family "Bacterial small subunit ribosomal RNA", at positions 30 to 526 of the family's 1533-position model. The record is from RNAcentral.